This 301-nucleotide ribosomal RNA is filed under the name uncultured bacterium. RNAcentral describes it as "partial 16S ribosomal RNA". It matches the Rfam family "Bacterial small subunit ribosomal RNA", at positions 509 to 807 of the family's 1533-position model. The record is from RNAcentral.
CAGCAGCCGCGGUAACACGGAGGGGGCUAGCGUUGUUCGGAAUUACUGGGCGUAAAGCGCACGUAGGCGGCUUGGUAAGUUAGAGGUGAAAGCCCGGAGCUCAACUCCGGAAUUGCCUUUAAGACUGCCGAGCUAGUAGGUGAGAGAGGUAAGUGGAAUUCCGAAUGUAGAGGUGAAAUUCGUAGAUAUUCGGAAGAACACCAGUGGCGAAGGCGGCUUACUGGCUCAUUCUAGACGCUGAGGUGCGAAAGCGUGGGGAGCAAACAGGAUUAGAUACCCCCGUAGUCCCUGUCUCUUAUAC